Molecule: ribosomal RNA, 253 nt
Filed under: uncultured bacterium
Lineage: Bacteria
Description: partial 16S ribosomal RNA
Rfam family: Bacterial small subunit ribosomal RNA
Source: RNAcentral
UACAGAGGGUGCGAGCGUUAAUCGGAAUUACUGGGCGUAAAGCGCGCGUAGGCGGCUUUGCAAGUCGGGUGUGAAAUCCCCAGGCUUAACCUGGGAACUGCAUUCGAGACUGCAUUGCUAGAGUAUGGGAGAGGGAAGUGGAAUUUCCGGUGUAGCGGUGAAAUGCGUAGAUAUCGGAAGGAACAUCAGUGGCGAAGGCGGGUCUCUGGGCCGUUACUGACGCUGAGGAGCGAAAGCGUGGGGAGCGAACAGG